GUCCACGCCCUAAACGAUGUCAACUAGUUGUUGGGUGGGUAAAACCAUUUAGUAACGGAGCUAACGCGUGAAGUUGACCGCCUGGGGAGUACGGCCGCAAGGUUAAAACUCAAAGGAAUUGACGGGGACCCGCACAAGCGGUGGAUGAUGUGGAUUAAUUCGAUGCAACGCGAAAAACCUUACCUACCCUUGACAUGUCAGGAACUUUCCAGAGAUGGAUUGGUGCCCGAAAGGGAGCCUGAACACAGGUGCUGCAUGGCUGUCGU
This 266-nucleotide ribosomal RNA is filed under the name uncultured bacterium. RNAcentral describes it as "partial 16S ribosomal RNA". It matches the Rfam family "Bacterial small subunit ribosomal RNA", at positions 793 to 1055 of the family's 1533-position model. The record is from RNAcentral.